UAAGGAAUAUUGGACAAUGGACGGAAGUCUGAUCCAGCCAUGCCGCGUGAAGGAUGAAUGCGCUAAGCGUUGUAAACUUCUUUUGCCUGGGGACAAAGAAACUGACUUGUCAGUAGAUGAGGGUACCAGGAGAAUAAGCACCGGCUAACUCCGUGCCAGCAGCCGCGGUAAUACGGAGGGUGCAAGCGUUAUCCGGAAUCACUGGGUUUAAAGGGUGCGUAGGCGGUCUGAUAAGUCUGUCGUGAAAAGCUUCGGCUUAACCGGUAGUCGUGCGAUGGAUACUGUCAGACUUGAAUGGAGAUGAGGCAGGCGGAAUGUGGCAUGUAGCGGUGAAAUGCAUAGAUAUGCCAUAGAACACCGAUUGCGAAGGCAGCUUGCCAAUCUUUGAUUGACGCUGAGG
RNAcentral lists this ribosomal RNA (400 nucleotides) under uncultured bacterium. RNAcentral's name for it is "partial 16S ribosomal RNA". It matches the Rfam family "Bacterial small subunit ribosomal RNA", at positions 355 to 751 of the family's 1533-position model. The record is from RNAcentral.